UGAGGAAUAUUGGUCAAUGGGCGAGAGCCUGAACCAGCCAAGUAGCGUGCAGGACGACGGCCCUAUGGGUUGUAAACUGCUUUUGCGCGGGGAUAAAGUGCACCACGUGUGGCUCAUUGCAGGUACCGCGCGAAUAAGGACCGGCUAAUUCCGUGCCAGCAGCCGCGGUAAUACGGAAGGUCCGGGCGUUAUCCGGAUUCAUUGGGUUUAAAGGGAGCGCAGGCCGCCCCUUAAGCGUGUUGUGAAAUGCCGCGGCUCAACCGUGGCACUGCAGCGCGAACUGGGGGGCUUGAGUGCGCGCAGCGCAGGCGGAACUCGCGGUGUAGCGGUGAAAUGCAUAGAUAUCACUCAGAACACCGAUUGCGAAGGCAUCUCACAAAUCCGCAAUUGACGCUGAGGCACGAAAGCGUGGGGAUCGAACAGGAUUAGAUACCCUGGUAGU
RNAcentral lists this ribosomal RNA (442 nucleotides) under uncultured Prevotella sp. RNAcentral describes it as "bacterial SSU rRNA". It matches the Rfam family "Bacterial small subunit ribosomal RNA", at positions 355 to 794 of the family's 1533-position model. The record is from RNAcentral. Lineage: Bacteria; Pseudomonadati; Bacteroidota; Bacteroidia; Bacteroidales; Prevotellaceae.